Molecule: long non-coding RNA, 429 nt
Organism: Astyanax mexicanus (Mexican tetra)
Lineage: Eukaryota; Metazoa; Chordata; Actinopteri; Characiformes; Acestrorhamphidae
Exons: 5
Source: RefSeq, a predicted model, not a curated record
UGGGAGUUGGAGUGAGGUCUGAUAGUGGGUGCAGGUGAAUUAUGGGAGUUGGAGUGAGGGCUGAUAGUGGGUGCAGGUGAAUUAUGGGAGUUGUAGUGAGGGCUGAUAGUGGGUGCAGGUGAAUUAUGGGAGUUGUAGUGAGGGCUGAUAGUGGGUGCAGGUGAAUUAUGGGAGUUGGAGUGAGGGCUGAUAGUGGGUGCAGGUGAAUUAUGGGAGUUGGAGUGAGGGCUGAUAGUGGGUGCAGGUGAAUUAUGGGAGUUGUAGUGAGGGCUGAUAGUGGGUGCAGGUGAAUUAUGGGAGUUGGAGUGAGGGCUGAUAGUGGGUGCAGGUGAAUUAUGGGAGUUGUAGUGAGGGCUGAUAGUGGGUGCAGGUGAAUUAUGGGAGUUGGAGUGAGGGCUGAUAGUGGGUGCAGGUGAAUUAUGGGAGUUG